GAUGGCGACCGGCGCACGGGUGAGUAACACGUAUCCAACCUGCCGUCUACUCUUGGACAGCCUUCUGAAAGGAAGAUUAAUACAAGAUGGCAUCAUGAGUCCGCAUGUUCACAUGAUUAAAGGUAUUCCGGUAGACGAUGGGGAUGCGUUCCAUUAGAUAGUAGGCGGGGUAACGGCCCACCUAGUCUUCGAUGGAUAGGGGUUCUGAGAGGAAGGUCCCCCACAUUGGAACUGAGACACGGUCCAAACUCCUACGGGAGGCAGCAGUGAGGAAUAUUGGUCAAUGGGCGCAGGCCUGAACCAGCCAAGUAGCGUGAAGGAUGACUGCCCUAUGGGUUGUAAACUUCUUUUAUAAAGGAAUAAAGUCGGGUAUGUAUACCCGUUUGCAUGUACUUUAUGAAUAAGGAUCGGCUAACUCCGUGCCAGCAGCCGCGGUAAUACGGAGGAUCCGAGCGUUAUCCGGA
Molecule: ribosomal RNA, 464 nt
Filed under: uncultured bacterium
Lineage: Bacteria
Description: bacterial SSU rRNA
Rfam family: Bacterial small subunit ribosomal RNA
Source: RNAcentral